UUAUACUCGCGAAACUGCGAAUGGCUCAUUAAAUCAGUUAUCGUUUAUUUGAUAAUACCUUACUACUUGGAUAACCGUGGUAAUUCUAGAGCUAAUACAUGCUAAAAAUCCCGACUUCGGAAGGGAUGUAUUUAUUAGAUUAAAAACCAAUGCCCUCUGGGCUCACUGGUGAUUCAUAAUAACUUCUCGAAUCGCAUGGCCUUGCGCCGGCGAUGGUUCAUUCAAAUUUCUGCCCUAUCAACUUUCGACGGCUGGGUCUUGGCCAGCCAUGGUGACAACGGGUAACGGAGGGUUAGGGCUCGACCCCGGAGAAGGAGCCUGAGAAACGGCUACUACAUCCAAGGAAGGCAGCAGGCGCGCAAAUUACCCAAUCCCGACUCGGGGAGGUAGUGACAAUACAUACUGAUACAGGGCUCUUUUGGGUCUUGUAAUUGGAAUGAGUACAAUUUAAAUCUCUUAACGAGGAACAAUUGGAGGGCAAGUCUGGUGCCAGCAGCCGCGGUAAUUCCAGCUCCAAUAGCGUAUAUUAAAGUUGUUGCGGUUAAAAAGCUCGUAGUUGAACCUUGGGCCUGGCUGGCCGGUCCGCCUCACCGCGUGCACUGGUUCGGUCGGGCCUUUCCCUCUGGGGAACCGCAUGCCCUUCACUGGGCGUGUCGGGGAACCAGGACUUUUACUUUGAAAAAAUUAGAGUGUUCAAAGCAGGCCUAUGCUCGAAUACAUUAGCAUGGAAUAAUAGAAUAGGACGUGCGGUUCUAUUUUGUUGGUUUCUAGGACCGCCGUAAUGAUUAAUAGGGACAGUCGGGGGCAUCAGUAUUCAAUUGUCAGAGGUGAAAUUCUUGGAUUUAUUGAAGACUAACUACUGCGAAAGCAUUUGCCAAGGAUGUUUUCAUUAAUCAGGAACGAAAGUUAGGGGAUCGAAGACGAUCAGAUACCGUCGUAGUCUUAACCAUAAACUAUGCGAACUAGGGAUCGGACGAUGUUAUUUUUUGACUCGUUCGGCACCUUACACGAAAGUACAAGUGUCUGCGUUCCGGGGGAU
RNAcentral lists this ribosomal RNA (1039 nucleotides) under Neospadicoides sp. RNAcentral's name for it is "SSU rRNA". It matches the Rfam family "Eukaryotic small subunit ribosomal RNA", at positions 73 to 1122 of the family's 1831-position model. The record is from RNAcentral. Lineage: Eukaryota; Fungi; Ascomycota; Sordariomycetes; Xenospadicoidales; Xenospadicoidaceae.